This 21-nucleotide non-coding RNA is filed under the name Caenorhabditis elegans. The record is from RNAcentral. Lineage: Eukaryota; Metazoa; Nematoda; Chromadorea; Rhabditida; Rhabditidae.
UCGAGUAUUGAACAUCAUUGU